AUAGUAUUACAAUAUGGUGGAAUAACACUCAAGUAUAUUAACCAUUAUUAAUUAUUAUUGUAUUGAUGAUAUGCUUAGUACUAUUCUACUAUACCAGUUCCUCCUACUCAGUAUUACAUUAUUAGUGUAUACAAUACAUCAAACAGUAUUAUAUACACUAAUAAUACUAAUGAUACUAAUAUUACUAUCACUGGACUACCUCUUACUGAUACAAACUACACUGUUACUAUCAUUCCUGUUAAUGUUAUUGGAUAUGGACCAUCAGCUACUGUUAAUGUCAAUAUAUCUGCUAUAAUGACCAGUAGUUCAAUUACUAGUGCAUCAUCAUCAGGUCUGUACAGUUAAUACAUUAUUCAUUAAUACAUGAUAUAUUGUACAUUAUUCGUUACAUUAACUACUGAUAUAAGUACCAGUACACCAGUAUUGUAUAUACCAUCUACUUCAAGUAGGUUUAAUAUUAAUCAUGAUAAAUAGUUACAGUAUCAGCUUCCAGCACUGACUCAUCAUCACAUACUAAUACAGUAACAAGCUCAUCAUCUACCACUGGAUUCACUACUGCUCCUACAACUGUUAGAUCAACACUGACAUUAUCAACUAUGAUAACACCCAGUACCAGUACUGCUACUGCUUCUAAUGCUGUUCCUAUUAUAUCAGGAGCUAUUGGAACAGUAUUUGUUAUAAUAAUAAUUAUUAUUACUGCACUAAUAAUAAUACUGGUGAUCAAGAAACAAAAAAGUAAGUGCUUUAUUGGUUUGAUUUUUAUCAUUUUUUCUACUACAUGCAGAUACUAACAGAGCAUCUAAAAAGCAAGUUAUUAAAUAACAAUUAUCAUUAUUGUUAUGAGCAAACACACAUUAGGAUCAGUACUGAUGGAGCAGUUACUCCUACAUAUGAUGAGAUCAUUGUUAAACCAACUACUACUACUGGAGUACCAAUAUAUGAUACACCAAUGGAACUACAGGCUAAUACUGCUUAUGGACCAAUUAAUAAUAAAGAUAUAAUUAAUGUACAUAAUAAUGAUGCGUAUGGACAAAUAAUGAUGUAGUAUAGUCUCUUUUUAUAUGAACUAUUUAAAGCUGUGUGCUUACAUCAGCUAUUUUGUGUAUACACACACACAUUACAUUUAAUGUUUAUAUGUGUAGCUAAUAGCAAAAAAGAACAAGAGCAAAUAAUUAUUGGAAGUCAAUAAUAUUAUUGUCCUGAGUAAACAUUUUAUUGUUUAUUCUAGCAUAAACUGCUCAGUUCUCAUUCCUUUUAUACUAAUGGCUACUGCUGGUAUCUACUGGUGUUGAUCU
Amphimedon queenslandica is the source of this 1295-nucleotide long non-coding RNA. RefSeq lists it as uncharacterized. The record is from RefSeq and is a predicted model, not a curated record. NCBI's taxonomy places the organism in Eukaryota, Metazoa, Porifera, Demospongiae, Haplosclerida, Niphatidae. The transcript is spliced from 2 exons.